Molecule: ribosomal RNA, 776 nt
Filed under: Bacillus sp. Ulugqat5
Lineage: Bacteria; Bacillati; Bacillota; Bacilli; Caryophanales; Bacillaceae
Description: bacterial SSU rRNA
Rfam family: Bacterial small subunit ribosomal RNA
Source: RNAcentral
UGCAGUCGAGCGAAUUGAUGGGAGCUUGCUCCCUGAUAUUAGCGGCGGACGGGUGAGUAACACGUGGGUAACCUGCCUGUAAGAUUGGGAUAACUCCGGGAAACCGGAGCUAAUACCGGAUAACAUUUUGAACCGCAUGGUUCGAAAUUGAAAGAUGGUUUCGGCUAUCACUUACAGAUGGACCCGCGGCGCAUUAGCUAGUUGGUGAGGUAACGGCUCACCAAGGCAACGAUGCGUAGCCGACCUGAGAGGGUGAUCGGCCACACUGGGACUGAGACACGGCCCAGACUCCUACGGGAGGCAGCAGUAGGGAAUCUUCCGCAAUGGACGAAAGUCUGACGGAGCAACGCCGCGUGAACGAUGAAGGCCUUCGGGUCGUAAAGUUCUGUUGUUAGGGAAGAACAAGUACCAGAGUAACUGCUGGUACCUUGACGGUACCUAACCAGAAAGCCACGGCUAACUACGUGCCAGCAGCCGCGGUAAUACGUAGGUGGCAAGCGUUGUCCGGAAUUAUUGGGCGUAAAGCGCGCGCAGGUGGUUUCUUAAGUCUGAUGUGAAAGCCCACGGCUCAACCGUGGAGGGUCAUUGGAAACUGGGGAACUUGAGUGCAGAAGAGGAAAGUGGAAUUCCAAGUGUAGCGGUGAAAUGCGUAGAGAUUUGGAGGAACACCAGUGGCGAAGGCGACUUUCUGGUCUGUAACUGACACUGAGGCGCGAAAGCGUGGGGAGCGAACAGGAUUAGAUACCCUGGUAGUCCACGCCGUAAACGAUGAGUGC